UCCCUCUUAGCUCAGUUGGUAGAGCGCGUCACUAGUAGGUGCUAUGACGAGGUCAGUCGUUCAAGUCGGCUAGAGGGAA
This is a non-coding RNA of Desarmillaria tabescens, 79 nucleotides long. The record is from the annotation of a RefSeq genome assembly. Lineage: Eukaryota; Fungi; Basidiomycota; Agaricomycetes; Agaricales; Physalacriaceae.